Molecule: ribosomal RNA, 399 nt
Filed under: uncultured bacterium
Lineage: Bacteria
Description: bacterial SSU rRNA
Rfam family: Bacterial small subunit ribosomal RNA
Source: RNAcentral
AAUCAACGCUGGCGGCGUGCCUCAGACAUGCAAGUCGAACGAUUAAAGCUCCCUUCGGGGAGUGUAUAGAGUGGCGCACGGGUGAGUAACACGUAAGUAAUCUACCUUUGAGUGGGGAAGUAACCCGGGAACCCGAGCUAAUACCGCAUAACGCAGCGGCAUCGCAAGAUGACAGUUGUUAAAGGAGCAAUCCGCUUAAAGAGGAGCUUGCGGCAGAUUAGCUAGUUGGAAGGUAACGGCUUACCAAGGCUACGAUCUGUAUCCGGUCUAAGAGGACGGUCGGACACACUGACACUGAAUAACGGGUCAGACUCCUACGGGAGGCAGCAGUCGGGAAUUUUGGGCAAUGGGCGAAAGCCUGACCCAGCAACGCCGCGUGAAGGAUAAAGUAUUUCGGUA